This 1363-nucleotide ribosomal RNA is filed under the name uncultured bacterium. RNAcentral describes it as "bacterial SSU rRNA". It matches the Rfam family "Bacterial small subunit ribosomal RNA", at positions 28 to 1380 of the family's 1533-position model. The record is from RNAcentral.
GACGAACGCUGGCGGCAGGCCUAACACAUGCAAGUCGAACGGUAACAGGAAGAAGCUUGCUUCUUUGCUGACGAGUGGCGGACGGGUGAGUAAUGUCUGGGAAACUGCCUGAUGGAGGGGGAUAACUACUGGAAACGGUAGCUAAUACCGCAUAACGUCGCAAGACCAAAGAGGGGGACCUUCGGGCCUCUUGCCAUCGGAUGUGCCCAGAUGGGAUUAGCUAGUAGGUGGGGUAACGGCUCACCUAGGCGACGAUCCCUAGCUGGUCUGAGAGGAUGACCAGCCACACUGGAACUGAGACACGGUCCAGACUCCUACGGGAGGCAGCAGUGGGGAAUAUUGCACAAUGGGCGCAAGCCUGAUGCAGCCAUGCCGCGUGUAUGAAGAAGGCCUUCGGGUUGUAAAGUACUUUCAGCGGGGAGGAAGGGAGUAAAGUUAAUACCUUUGCUCAUUGACGUUACCCGCAGAAGAAGCACCGGCUAACUCCGUGCCAGCAGCCGCGGUAAUACGGAGGGUGCAAGCGUUAAUCGGAAUUACUGGGCGUAAAGCGCACGCAGGCGGUUUGUUAAGUCAGAUGUGAAAUCCCCGGGCUCAACCUGGGAACUGCAUCUGAUACUGGCAAGCUUGAGUCUCGUAGAGGGGGGUAGAAUUCCAGGUGUAGCGGUGAAAUGCGUAGAGAUCUGGAGGAAUACCGGUGGCGAAGGCGGCCCCCUGGACGAAGACUGACGCUCAGGUGCGAAAGCGUGGGGAGCAAACAGGAUUAGAUACCCUGGUAGUCCACGCCGUAAACGAUGUCGACUUGGAGGUUGUGCCCUUGAGGCGUGGCUUCCGGAGCUAACGCGUUAAGUCGACCGCCUGGGGAGUACGGCCGCAAGGUUAAAACUCAAAUGAAUUGACGGGGGCCCGCACAAGCGGCGGAGCAUGCGGAUUAAUUCGAUGCAACGCGAAGAACCUUACCAAGGCUUGACAUGCACGGCGGCACUGCAGAGAUGUGGUGGCAUUUAGUUGGUCGUGUGCAGGUGGUGCAUGGUUGUCGUCAGCUCGUGUCGUGAGAUGUUGGGUUAAGUCCCGCAACGAGCGCAACCCUUGCCCUAUGUUGCCAGCACGUGAUGGUGGGGACUCGUGGGGGACUGCCGGGGUUAACUCGGAGGAAGGUGGGGAAGACGUCAAAUCAUCAUGCCCCUUAUGUCUUGGGCUUCACGCAUGCUACAAUGGCUGGUACAGAGGGUUGCGAUACUGUGAGGUGGAGCGAAUCCCUUAAAGCCAGUCUCAGUUCGGAUUGGGGUCUGCAACUCGACCUCAUGAAAUCGGAGUCGCUAGUAAUCGCAGAUCAGCAACGCUGCGGUGAAUACGUUCCCGGGGC